CCUACGGGAGGCAGCAGUGAGGAAUAUUGGUCAAUGGGCGAGAGCCUGAACCAGCCAAGUCGCGUGAAGGAUGACGGCCCUACGGGUUGUAAACUUCUUUUGUCAGGGAGCAAUUGGCUCCACGCGUGGGCUUAGCGAGAGUACCUGAAGAAAAAGCAUCGGCUAACUCCGUGCCAUCAGCCGCGGUAAUACGGAGGAUGCGAGCGUUAUCCGGAUUUAUUGGGUUUAAGGGGUGCGUGGGCGGAAUAUCAAGUCAGCGGUAAAGAUUCGGGGCUCAACCGCGUCGUGCCGUUGAAACUGAUGUUCUUGAGUGAGCGAGAAGUAUGCGGAAGGCGUGGUGUAGCGGUGAAAUGCAUAGAUAUCAUGCAGAACUCCGAUUGCGAAGGCAGGAUACCGGCGCUCAACUGACGCUGAAGCACGAAAGCGUGGGUAUCGAACAGGAUUAGAUACCCGAGUAGUC
Molecule: ribosomal RNA, 460 nt
Filed under: uncultured bacterium
Lineage: Bacteria
Description: partial 16S ribosomal RNA
Rfam family: Bacterial small subunit ribosomal RNA
Source: RNAcentral